UGAGUAACCUGCCCUUAACUCUGGGAUAAGCCUGGGAAACUGGGUCUAAUACCGGAUAUGACUCCUCAUCGCAUGGUGGGGGGUGGAAAGCUUUUGUGGUUUUGGAUGGACUCGCGGCCUAUCAGCUUGUUGGUGAGGUAAUGGCUUACCAAGGCGACGACGGGUAGCCGGCCUGAGAGGGUGACCGGCCACACUGGGACUGAGACACGGCCCAGACUCCUACGGGAGGCAG
Molecule: ribosomal RNA, 232 nt
Filed under: uncultured bacterium
Lineage: Bacteria
Description: partial 16S ribosomal RNA
Rfam family: Bacterial small subunit ribosomal RNA
Source: RNAcentral